GAGAAAAUUCAUUGGAUUUCAAGGAAUUAAGCAAGUAAAGGUGAUGAAACUUCUGAUAAGAGUAAGGAGAUUGUACCCGAAGAUCAGGACAAGGAGUACUUCGACUCCCGAUAUUUCAUUGCAGUGGUGGGUUUUCGUGGACCAGCCUAAUAGAGAGGGGCACGAUAAAUUCGGUUAUAUUUUACUUCGGUACGAGAGGCGCGAAGGGUAUCUCCUGAGGUAAAGCUUUAAAGUUCACUACAUGCUAAACCACCACGUGAGGGUGAACUCAGCCAACG
This 278-nucleotide small RNA is filed under the name Theobroma cacao (cacao). Its description in RNAcentral is "sRNA Tc03v2_g004220". The record is from RNAcentral. Lineage: Eukaryota; Viridiplantae; Streptophyta; Magnoliopsida; Malvales; Malvaceae.